GCUUAGCCUUAAAUCAUGAUACUUACCCCACCUAAGUAUCCGCCCGAGAACUACGAGCACAAACGCUUAAAACUCUAAGGACUUGGCGGUGCCCUAAACCCACCUAGAGGAGCCUGUUCUAUAAUCGAUAAUCCACGAUUCACCCAACCACCCCUUGCCAUGCAGCCUACAUACCGCCGUCGCCAGCCCGCCUCAUGAGAGAAUAGCGAGCACAAUAGCCCACCCGCUAACAAGACAGGUCAAGGUAUAGCAUAUGGAGUGGAAGAAAUGGGCUACAUUUUCUAACAUAGAAUACAACGAAAGAGGAUAUGAAAUAUCCUCAGAAGGCGGAUUUAGCAGUAAAAUAGAAUAAGAGAGUCUAUUUUAAGUCGGCUCUAGGGC
RNAcentral lists this ribosomal RNA (381 nucleotides) under Struthio camelus (African ostrich). RNAcentral describes it as "partial 12S ribosomal RNA". It matches the Rfam family "Bacterial small subunit ribosomal RNA", at positions 794 to 1380 of the family's 1533-position model. The record is from RNAcentral. Lineage: Eukaryota; Metazoa; Chordata; Aves; Struthioniformes; Struthionidae.